Long non-coding RNA from Oncorhynchus mykiss (rainbow trout), 874 nucleotides. RefSeq lists it as uncharacterized. Lineage: Eukaryota; Metazoa; Chordata; Actinopteri; Salmoniformes; Salmonidae. The record is from RefSeq and is a predicted model, not a curated record.
UUUCUUCCUCAGUCAGUAUUGUUCCUGUGUUCAUGCAUAAAUGCCACUGUUAUGUUGUCUCGGUUGUUGUUUUAUUAAAUGUUUCUCCUGCUUCUCGACACACAGCGUCAGCGUUACUGAAUACUGACUCAAACAAAAGAAGCAGCAGGAAAACGGAAUAUCUCCCAGACGGUCAACAAGCAGGGUUACCUUCUACGUCAACAACAUGACCAGCUGGCACGGCUAUGGAAGAGGCUCUUCACAGUUUGCAAGCCUCAAACACGCCCUGGAGGCAUUGCAUUCAGCUAGAGGAGGAUACUCUACAACCAGCCGACACAGCAAGCCAGCUCAGCAACCAGCUCAGGCCGGUGGUUCCUGGUCCCCUAGCUGAUGCUGUCCCCCAUGACUCCCCCUUGGACAUCGAGGGGAGUCCAACAUAUGCUGUCAGAUCCCUACUGGACUCCCGACAUCGUGGGGGUUGGCUCCAUCCAGUACCUGGUGGACUGGGAGGGGUAUGGCCCAGAGGAGCGGUGUUGGGUUCCCAACAUCACCCGUGAUUUCCACCUUCGCCACCCGGACCGGCUCGCUCCUCGUCCUCGGGGUCGUCCCUUUGGUCAGCGUUGUCCUGCGCCGGAAGCUGAGCUUCGCAUUUACUCCCACUCCUCCGGCAUUCGACAUCGCCGGUAUACUAACUACCGAUCCAUCAUUACACACACCUGGCAUCCAUCAUUAAGCGCAUCUGCAGAUCAUCAUGUUACUCACCUGGACUCCAUUACCUUCCUGAUCACCUCCCCUAUAUGUCACUCCCUUGUGUUCCUUCCUCAGUAAGUAUUGUCCAUGCGUAAACGCAACUGUUAUGUUGUCUCUUUUAAUUAAACAUUUCUCCUGCACCUGC